CCCUGCCUUAAUUUCCAAACCUCAAGCUCUAAUCCUCUUCCAUACCGCCUUCUUAGACACAGAAACACAGCUAAACGAUGUCGCACUUCGGAAGAUCUGGACCACCGGAUAUCAGAGACACUUUUUCUCUAUUGGUACUCAACAUAACUUUCCGUACGACUGCUGAUGACUUGUUUCCGCUCUUCGAUAAGUAUGGAAAAGUUGUUGAUGUUUUCAUCCCGAGAGACCGAAGGACUGGAGAUUCAAGGGGCUUUGCAUUUGUGCGGUACAAGUAUCAAGAUGAGGCCCGGAAGGCCGUCGAAAAGCUAGAUGGAAAACUCGUUGAUGGGAGAGAAAUAAUGGUUCAGUUUGCCAAGUAUGGGCCCAAUGCUGAACGAAUUCACAAGGGGAGAAUUUCAGAACCAGUUUCCGGGUCAAAAGGGUCAAGAAGCCGCAGUCCUCGGCCAAGGUACCGGGAUGAUUACAGGGAGAAGGAUUACAGGAAGAGAAGCCGCAGCAGCAGUAGGGGUAGAUAUGAAAAGGAAUGGCAUCGUGGCAGGGACAGGGACAGGGAUUAUCGCCAUAGAAAUCGGAGCCGAAGCAGAAGUCGCAGUCUUACUCCUGGGUAUCGCAGAGACCAUGGCAGAGGCAAAUAUGAUUAUGAGAGGCGUAGUCGAAGUCGGUCUUAUGGGAGUGCUUCCCCUGCUCGACGUAGUCUUAGUCCCCAGAGGAGCCCUUCUCCGCGUAAAACAACUUCAAGGGGUGGAAGUCCAGAUGCUUGCAAUUACAUAGAGCGGUCUCCCACCCCAAAAAGUGUCUCUUCUGCUCAUCGUGGUACUGAUUCUCGUAGCCCUACUCCUCGUUCUGAUGCUGAUGAGUAAGAGACUGGAGUGAAGUUUGAUGGAUUGGCUAGCAGCUCUGUGUGGCUGCUUUUGUCUUUCAGAAUAUUCAGAUAUAUCGUAUCAUCUAUCAUCUAUUUAGUGGUUGCUAGAAGUGAUUUCCUCAAACUUAUUCCUAAGCUGUGACCAUGAGGAGUAGUUGUUGCUGAUUGACAAGAUGAUGCAGCAGCUAUUGAUGCUGUGCUGUUUUAUGAUGAUGCAGUGGCUGUUGAUGCUGCUUUUACUUUGCUGUUGAUUGCUAUAAUUUCUUGCUGAUGACAGAUUGCAGUUCCUAUAAAAACUUUCUGACCAGGUCAUAAUUGGUAAGGAUAACAAACUUAAAUGUAGUCUUAAAUCACAUUGGAAUUCUAAUUUUGACCUGACAGCGAUAUAUUUACUCCACUGAAAAUUUUGAAGUUAAAAUGUGAGUUUAGAACCAAUCAUUUAGAAGGUUGCUGGAGUCCAUGUAACGUGCGGAUGUGCUGUUGAUUAGAGAGAUUCCAUAUGCUGGUUAUAUUUUCAAGCCACAUGUGCAAUGUUGCUGUUAAGAUGACCAUGGUGCUGAGAUAUUAAUUUUCUUGCAGCAAUUGGUGGUCUAUUCAGCUCUUCAUUUAAUGUCACUUUUAGGGUGUAUUUUUAACACACAACGGUAGUGAUCUUGCCUUUGCAAUAGGAUGCAUAUCAAUAAGCUGAUAUUUGCACUAUGUUACAGCACGAGGUCGUGACUGUAGCUGGGAAUUGAUAGCCGGUAUUUUUGAUACACCUCUUGCUCGUAGCUAUAGAAACUGAUGCUGCUGAGUUGAUGAAUGGUUUGGUGGCUGUUUUGUAGCUGGGUGCUGUGGAAGUGCUUUGUUCAUUUCCUGUUCGAUUGCCUCUUGUAGGGAUGAAAUUGCAUAUAGAUAUGUGAUGUCUGUGGGAGUGGGUGACUGUUAAAACAGAUUUGCUGCUUGAUUCUCAAGGAUGCUCGAUUUAUCCGUGCAACCUUGCUACGGUUUAAGCUUAUUGGAUGCUUUUUAUAUUAAGAACGCGAACUAAUAAAGGAGAAUAUGUUAUUAGGAGAGAAUGUUGUGAUUUUUUAAACUUGAAGGGAUGUGUCUGUAUUUUGUUGCAAGUCUGAACGGCUUUCUUUCUAAUUUUCUCGAAUAGUAAUAUACUGUAAAAACUCUUAUAUAGCA
Molecule: RNA transcript, 2032 nt
Organism: Olea europaea var. sylvestris
Lineage: Eukaryota; Viridiplantae; Streptophyta; Magnoliopsida; Lamiales; Oleaceae
Gene name: serine/arginine-rich splicing factor SC35-like
Exons: 10
Source: RefSeq, a predicted model, not a curated record